RNAcentral lists this ribosomal RNA (571 nucleotides) under Klebsiella pneumoniae. Its description in RNAcentral is "SSU rRNA". It matches the Rfam family "Eukaryotic small subunit ribosomal RNA", at positions 1213 to 1793 of the family's 1831-position model. The record is from RNAcentral. Lineage: Bacteria; Pseudomonadati; Pseudomonadota; Gammaproteobacteria; Enterobacterales; Enterobacteriaceae.
CCUCACCCGGCCCGGACACGGACAGGAUUGACAGAUUGAUAGCUCUUUCUCGAUUCCGUGGGUGGUGGUGCAUGGCCGUUCUUAGUUGGUGGAGCGAUUUGUCUGGUUAAUUCCGAUAACGAACGAGACUCUGGCAUGCUAACUAGUUACGCGACCCCCGAGCGGUCGGCGUCCCCCAACUUCUUAGAGGGACAAGUGGCGUUCAGCCACCCGAGAUUGAGCAAUAACAGGUCUGUGAUGCCCUUAGAUGUCCGGGGCUGCACGCGCGCUACACUGACUGGCUCAGCGUGUGCCUACCCUACGCCGGCAGGCGCGGGUAACCCGUUGAACCCCAUUCGUGAUGGGGAUCGGGGAUUGCAAUUAUUCCCCAUGAACGAGGAAUUCCCAGUAAGUGCGGGUCAUAAGCUUGCGUUGAUUAAGUCCCUGCCCUUUGUACACACCGCCCGUCGCUACUACCGAUUGGAUGGUUUAGUGAGGCCCUCGGAUCGGCCCCGCCGGGGUCGGCCCACGGCCCUGGCGGAGCGCUGAGAAGACGGUCGAACUUGACUAUCUAGAGGAAGUAAAAGUCGUA